Oncorhynchus keta (chum salmon) is the source of this 1587-nucleotide long non-coding RNA. RefSeq lists it as uncharacterized. Lineage: Eukaryota; Metazoa; Chordata; Actinopteri; Salmoniformes; Salmonidae. The transcript has 11 exons. The record is from RefSeq and is a predicted model, not a curated record.
AAUCACUAUCACUCCCUGGAACACAACAAGGUGUGUCAAAUCACUAUCACUCCCUGGAACACAACAAGGUGUGUCAAAUCACUAUCACUCCCUGGAACACAACAAGGUGUGUAAAAUCACUAUCACUCCCUGGAACACAACAAGGUGUGUAAAAUCACUAUCACUCCCUGGAACACAACAAGGUGUGUCAAAUCACUAUCACUCCCUGGAACACAACAAGGUGUGUAAAAUCACUAUCACUCCCUGGAACACAACAAGGUGUGUCAAAUCACUAUCACUCCCUGGAACACAACAAGGUGUGUCAAAUCACUAUCACUCCCUGGAACACAACAAGGUGUGUCAAAUCACUAUCACUCCCUGGAACACAACAAGGUGUGUAAAAUCACUAUCACUCCCUGGAACACAACAAGGUGUGUAAAAUCACUAUCACUCCCUGGAACACAACAAGGUGUGUCAAAUCACUAUCACUCCCUGGAACACAACAAGGUGUGUCAAAUCACUAUCACUCCCUGGAACACAACAAGGUGUGUAAAAUCACUAUCACUCCCUGGAACACAACAAGGUGUGUCAAAUCACUAUCACUCCCUGGAACACAACAAGGUGUGUCAAAUCACUAUCACUCCCUGGAACACAACAAGGUGUGUCAAAUCACUAUCACUCCCUGGAACACAACAAGGUGUGUCAAAUCACUAUCACUCCCUGGAACACAACAAGGUGUGUAAAAUCACUAUCACUCCCUGGAACACAACAAGGUGUGUAAAAUCACUAUCACUCCCUGGAACACAACAAGGUGUGUAAAAUCACUAUCACUCCCUGGAACACAACAAGGUGUGUCAAAUCACUAUCACUCCCUGGAACACAACAAGGUGUGUCAAAUCACUAUCACUCCCUGGAACACAACAAGGUGUGUAAAAUCACUAUCACUCCCUGGAACACAACAAGGUGUGUCAAAUCACUAUCACUCCCUGGAACACAACAAGGUGUGUAAAAUCACUAUCACUCCCUGGAACACAACAAGGUGUGUCAAAUCACUAUCACUCCCUGGAACACAACAAGGUGUGUCAAAUCACUAUCACUCCCAGGAACACAACAAGGUGUGUAAAAUCACUAUCACUCCCUGGAACACAACAAGGUGUGUCAAAUCACUAUCACUCCCUGGAACACAACAAGGUGUGUAAAAUCACUAUCACUCCCUGGAACACAACAAGGUGUGUCAAAUCACUAUCACUCCCUGGAACACAAUAAGGUGUGCAAAAUCACUAUCACUCCCUGGAACACAAUAAGGUGUGUAAAAUCACUAUCACUCCCUGGAACACAACAAGGUGUGUAAAAUCACUAUCACUCACGUGAAGGUAUUUCAGGUGCUCUUGACUUAGCGUGGAGUUUGCACAUUUGGGACCAUUCCAUUGGUUAUAUUGUACACAGCAAACUAUAUCAAGCAUAGCUCAAGUGUUGAAAAACAUGUGACAUGAUGAUGUGUUUGACCCAGGUCUACGUGAUCCAAUUCAAAUAACGUCAAGAGGGACCUAGCAUGCUACUCUAAAUCAAUGUGAGAGGAUACCGUUUGGAAAGAAAAGAGAUGUGUCU